Molecule: ribosomal RNA, 510 nt
Filed under: uncultured bacterium
Lineage: Bacteria
Description: partial 16S ribosomal RNA
Rfam family: Bacterial small subunit ribosomal RNA
Source: RNAcentral
GACGAACGCUGGCGGCGUGCUUAACACAUGCAAGUCGAACGAAGAGCGACGGAAGCUUGCUUCUAUCAAUCUUAGUGGCGAACGGGUGAGUAACGCGUAAUCAACCUGCCCUUCAGAGGGGGACAACAGUUGGAAACGACUGCUAAUACCGCAUACGAUCUAACCUCGGCAUCGAGGAGAGAUGAAAGGUGGCCUCUACAUGUAAGCUAUCACUGAAGGAGGGGAUUGCGUCUGAUUAGCUAGUUGGAGGGGUAACGGCCCACCAAGGCGAUGAUCAGUAGCCGGUCUGAGAGGAUGAACGGCCACAUUGGGACUGAGACACGGCCCAGACUACUACGGGAGGCAGCAGUGGGGAAUCUUCCGCAAUGGACGAAAGUCUGACGGAGCAACGCCGCGUGAGUGAUGACGGCCUUCGGGUUGUAAAGCUCUGUUAAUCGGGACGAAAGGCCUUCUUGCGAAUAGUGAGAAGGAUUGACGGUACCGGAAUAGAAAGCCACGGCUAACUACGUG